UUUCCGUAGGUGAACCUGCGGAAGGAUCAUUACAGAGCGUGAAGACUCCUCGGCCCCUCCAGCGGCGCAAGUCGGUGCGAGGGAUACAUGCCGCGGGGUCGACCCUCCCACCCGUGUCGAUAUUAUCCUCCUGUUGCUUUGGCAGGCCGGGGCAACCUGCUGGCCCCCUUGGGGCUGGAGCGUGCCUGCCAGAGAAUGUAUUUUCAAUAUGUUUUGGAACAACUCGUGUUAUUGGUGAAGUCUGAGCACAAUGUGAGAAAUUAGUUAAAACUUUCAACAACGGAUCUCUUGGCUCUGGCAUCGAUGAAGAACGCAGC
This 317-nucleotide unclassified non-coding RNA is filed under the name uncultured fungus. RNAcentral's name for it is "sequence contains ITS1, 5.8S rRNA gene". The stretch from base 269 to 317 matches the Rfam family "5.8S ribosomal RNA", at positions 1 to 49 of the family's 154-position model. The record is from RNAcentral. Lineage: Eukaryota; Fungi.